CUUUCAUGUUAAGUGAGAUUAAAUCAUUUUCCAUAAUUAGGAACUUGAAUCAUUGCCUAAUUUAUAGUUUGAUAAUGGAACUUCUCUGCUGUCACUCUAAGUCAGAGGGUAAGUUUUUUUAAACAACAACAAAAAAAUGGUUUGGUUCUUCUUUCUUAACUUUUAACUUCUAACUGAACUUUUAAGUAGUCCAGAAAAUCUUUUAAUUUCUUUUUAGGUAGUAGGCGCUUUUCUUUUCUAAUAUACUUUAUUCUAUAAUAUUGUAUGGAGAAUAAAUUGUGUGGACUUUCAUUAAGUGCAAUGUCAUAUUUUGCUUGAUUUGGUGCUUUUUAAACAGGAUGGUGCUUUCUUCUUAAAUCAUGCAGAAACUGGAUAGUUCAGAUAUGAUACAUUUUAUUUAAAAUACUGUAACCAGGGGCCAGCCCCGAUGGCCUCGUGGUUAAGUUCAGUGCACUCUGCUUCGGGGGCCUGGGUUUGGUUCCCGGGCACAGAGGCCACACCACUGUUAGUGGCCACACUGUGCUGGCUGCUCACAUACUAAAAAAUAGAGGAAGAUUGGCACAGAUGUUCGUUCAGGGAAAAUCUUCCUCACCAACAAAAAAAAUAAUGCUGUAUCCAGAACCUGACAUACUACAACAUAGAAUGGGGUCAAGGUAAUAAGAUGUCUUGAUCCGUUUAUGUAUGUGCAUGAAAUUUCAGUGACCUCAUGAAUUCCUUUGAAUUUAUUUGAAUAAACUAAUUUUGAGCUGUUUGGUUCUUUCAAGCGAUCAUAACUCAUUCUCAGUUUUUCAAUCCAGAUUUGUAUAGUAGCUGACACGUAGUAGGCCCUUACAUAUGUCCUAAAAUGAAUCUGUAAGAUGGGGACACUGACCACAUGCUGCUAUUCUGCAUCUCUUGUCAUUUCAUGGUUUCAUACAUCCUAUUUUGGAUUUGUAUGCAUUCUGCUGUUUCUAAAAUUGGUAGCUAAGCAAUGCAUUUUUUAACAUUAAUUAUCAAGUUUUGUCUUACUCUUAAAUUUCCUGUGUUUAUGUGAGGCAGCACAGUGGGCAUCUUUCUAUCUUGCUGAAACCCACUUUCCUGGGCUGAAAAUAUAUUGACCUUGGCUAUAACCUUGACAUUUAGGAGAGUUGACUAGACUCUGAAAACAUAGAGCCCAGUGUGAUUGUAAAUGCCUGUUCCUAUGACAUCCUCAGUUACGUAAUAAAAAUAAUCCAGAAAAUUGUCAAGAUAUGUGAACAUUUUAUACGGGGAUUGGCCUUAUACAGCACAGACUUACGAGAAAGAGUUCAUUUUCCUAAGAAUCCUUCAACAAACUGAAGGUUGGGCUCCCAGUCCUGAGGCUCUGACUCUCUGGAUAUUAUAACCACAACAUCUGGAAGAACGUCUGUUUCUUCCUUUGAAAAAAAUAUGUUUAAACUCUUUUUUUGGAGGGAUGUUAUAAAAUGUGUCCAUCGCAUGACUCAUUUUGGAGUAUAAGAGGUGAUAUGAAUUAAAUUAUCAUUGAAAUUUUUACCCUGUCUGCUUUGCUCAUUUAGACUAUAUGACCUUACAAAGAGUCAGGCAGAGCGAACAUGACAGAAAAGAUCACUUGAAACUUAUUUCAUCUGGAUUGAAAAGGAUAUAUUUUAUAGCUGAGGAUUCCGCACAGAAAAUAGCUUUCUAAAGUUACUCUCAAGUAUAGCAUCAUUGUAUUGGGAAGGAAAUCAGUAUUUUUCAAGUGCCUCGUAAAGGUCAAGCAUUCUACCAGGUACUUACAUUUGGGCAUAACUCAUUGGGAGACAGCAAAAUGGUUGUGUGUACUGUGGGGUCCUCGCCUUGUCACCGACUAGCUAAGUGACUACUGAGUGACCUUGGGCAAGUUAUUGACCUCCUCUUCCUCAUCGUCACUUUUCACAUCAAUCCUGUGAGAUGGGUGGAGGGAUUCCCAUUCUACAGAUAAGGAAACUGAGGCCACUUAGGUAAUUUGUUCAGGGCCACACAACCAGCAAAUUGCAGUACUUGGAUCUGGAGCCAGACAUUGCUCAAGAUCCCACCCUCUCUCUCCCAUUCUCUGUGGUCCCCCAGUUGAUGUCAUGUUGCAUGAGCUUAGAUUAGGGGCACUAGUAAUAUAGAAAAAGCUCUGAAAAGGAAAUUGGGAGAAGUGAGUUUUAGCUGGCCCUUCCCCUAGCUAACUGCGUGUCCUUGAGCAAGUCAUCUGUCUCAGCUCCCUUAUCUCUUAAGUAGAGGGCUUAGGGCUCGUACAACCCUUUCAGAUUUUGCCCCUUUAUCAUCAUAAAGUGUUUCUCUUUGUGUCUAGUAAUACUCCUUGUGUUGAAGUCUAUUUGUCUUAUAUUAAUUUAGCCAGUUUAGCUGUUUGUAUGCAUGGUAUAACUUUUCCCUUUCUUCCAACUAAUGUUUCUAUUUAAAAUGUUUCUCUUUCUGGAGAACAUAUGUUUGAUUCUUGCUUUAUUAUUGUUAUUGCUGUUAUUUUAUUCGUAUUGACAACCUUUGCCACUUGAAUGAGUGUUUAGUCCAUUUACAUUUAAAGUAGUUGUUGAUAUGUUUAUAUUCUGGAGUUAAAGUUUUAAGAGGUAUAUUAAAUUUUCAUUUUGGUUUUCUAUAUCUUCUCAGUUUUCUUUCUGACUUAACUUUAUGAAAAAAUAAUCUUGUAUGGGUUGGAGACUUAUUAGUGUAACUGGUUUGUUGAAUGGGCCACAUUUAGUAAGACACAAAAAGAAAAUAGCUUUAUUCUUUUCCCACCUCUACUUUGGAUGAUAUUUUCAGCAGAUCCCAUAGCUUUUGAAUCAUUUAAAAAUAUUGGAACAACUAAUUUUCAAAUAUGAGAAAAAUGGGGUACAAUGUGCACUGUAACUUCUGUCCUCCCAUCCAGUUUAUAGCGUCUCCCCUUUUCUGUCCUCAGGCCUGACACCUGGCUUGGUGAUCAUCAGUCAGAAAGAAAGGUCAUUUUUAGUUCAGCCGUCCUCUCUGCACUUCCUUCUACCCACUGUUUCUGGCUCCUCCAGAGUCCACAGGGAGGCAGAAGAGGGAUGAAGGCUGUUGUACUUGCUGGUGCUGGUUUGUUUUCGUGGCCUGCUGUUUCUCAUAUACACGCUUAUGGGUUCUUUGGAGGAUUACUUAAGCCUCGUUAACUUGGUCCACAGGAAAACUCACAUGUAAGCACCAUCAACUCUGAAGUGUAGCCUGUUCCCACUUGUCCUGAGGUUCUCUUUCCUUGCUCUACUGUUACAGGCAGCAUCAGCCAGGCCUGAGGCUCCAACCUCACACAUGCCCCACAGAACAGGCUGUAAGUUUCUGCACAGAGGCAAGCAUCUAGCCAGGGAAUAUUAGCCUCCCUCACUGCAUAUAGCCCCAAGGUAUGAGGGUUUGUUUGGGC
This is a long non-coding RNA of Equus asinus (donkey), 3373 nucleotides long. The record is from Ensembl. NCBI's taxonomy places the organism in Eukaryota, Metazoa, Chordata, Mammalia, Perissodactyla, Equidae.